ACAGAGGUGGCAAGCGUUGUCCGGAAUUACUGGGCGUAAAGAGCGCGUAGGUGGCUAGAUAAGUCCGGUGUGAAAUCCUUCGGCUUAACCGGGGAAUGGCAUCGGGGACUGUAUAGCUAGAGGACGGAAGAGGAGAGCGGAAUUCCCGGUGUAGCGGUGAAAUGCGUAGAGAUCGGGAGGAAGGCCGGUGGCGAAAGCGGCUUACUAGACGACAACUGACGCUGAGGCGCGAAAGCUAGGGGAGCAAACAGGA
This 253-nucleotide ribosomal RNA is filed under the name uncultured prokaryote. Its description in RNAcentral is "partial 16S ribosomal RNA". It matches the Rfam family "Bacterial small subunit ribosomal RNA", at positions 525 to 777 of the family's 1533-position model. The record is from RNAcentral.